UUAACACAUGCAAUGUCUGAACUGAGGUCCUAUCCGAUCUAUGUGAAGACCUAGUUGCGAACGGGUGCGUAACACGUGAGAAACCUGCCCCGGUCUCUGGGAUAACAGUUGGAAACGUCUGCUAAUACCGGAUGCCGUCGGACCGUCGCAUGGCGGACCGACGAAAGGGUUACCGGAUCGGGAGGGUCUCGCGGACUAUCAGCUUGUUGGUGAUGUAACGGCUCACCCAAUGCAUCGACGGGUAGCUGGUCUGAGACGGAUGAUACGCACACUUGGGACUUGAGACCUGCCCAAAUCCAACGGGAGGCAGCGUGGGAUUUUGCCCAGGGGGAAACCUUAUGAGAACGC
RNAcentral lists this ribosomal RNA (348 nucleotides) under uncultured bacterium. Its description in RNAcentral is "bacterial SSU rRNA". It matches the Rfam family "Bacterial small subunit ribosomal RNA", at positions 48 to 393 of the family's 1533-position model. The record is from RNAcentral.